RNAcentral lists this unclassified non-coding RNA (262 nucleotides) under Hevea brasiliensis (rubber tree). The record is from RNAcentral. Lineage: Eukaryota; Viridiplantae; Streptophyta; Magnoliopsida; Malpighiales; Euphorbiaceae.
CGAAAACUGAUCUCAAGCAGCGGUUAGAUCAAAAUCUCAAUGAUCUGAUAGUUCCUAUAAGAAGACACAUGGGUCAGCUCUCACGAGGGUGUAGGAUUUCAAUCUGGCUACUCGCAUACAUUGCAGUUGUAACAACCUGGCCGCUGGUUGGUUCAGCUCUUCUUUUGUUCAUCAACAGAAAGUUCAAAAACAUCAUUCCGGGGUCAUUGCUUAGAAGAUAGCAUACGUCGAACUAUAAAAAUUAUUGUCAUUCUUGCUGGGU